Molecule: long non-coding RNA, 2409 nt
Organism: Parus major (Great Tit)
Lineage: Eukaryota; Metazoa; Chordata; Aves; Passeriformes; Paridae
Exons: 2
Source: RefSeq, a predicted model, not a curated record
UGCGAUAGCGGUGUUUAAAAUCAUGAGUGGCACAGAGAAAAUAAGUAGCAAAUGAUUGUUUGCGUUUCUCCCAGAGCAAGAAUAAGGGACAUCGGGUGGAAUUACUGGGUAGUGGCUUAAGCAAACAACAGCAAACUUGGUCGUUGUGGCGUGUGAUUAAACUGGAACCAGUCUUACAGUAUCUGCCGGGUGUCAAGAGGGUAGAUGGGCUCAAAACCAAUCAGGCUAAUUAACAGAGAAAGAAAAUCUAUCAAGGACUAAUAGGCAACAAGAUGAUAUUUGUGCCUGAGGAGCUGCCUGCGUGACAGGCUCUGGAUGUGGGGAGGAGAGAGUGGAGAAAAUUACUGCAUGGUUACCCUUUUUAAAAAUUGUUUGCCUUGGUAUCUGCUGCUGGCUCCUGUCAGUGGUGGAAUACUGGACUAAGUGGACAUUUGACCCAAUCCAGUAGAAUUCUUCUGCAUAAUGUUUUUGUUUAAUGUUUAUUUUAUGUUUUUGCAGAUAAAGUAGCUCAGAGACCUACAGGGUCCCAAGGUUUGAACCCUACUUAAAUAAUUUAGACCUAGCCUGGAUGUCCACUCGGAGUCUUGGAAGAGAAUGUGUUUGGAUUGAUCCAACCAUCUGAGAAGAGAAUUUGGAGAUGGUGGCCAGAAGCUGCAGCCAUGACUCAGUAAGAAGGGGAAAAGUGCUGCUGUGAUGUUACCUGGAACUGCAUUUAACUUAAACUAGCACAGUGCCUUGCUCUUCUGUGACCUUUACCCAUCAGGACUUAUUAGCUAAUUGAAUUCAGAAGGUAACUCCUUAACUGUUUUCAAACUAAAUUAACUUGCUUCAAGGGACCAAGUUGUGUUUGUAUUUCCACAGAGAUAAUGAGUUUAGGCUUCAACUGAAAUCUUGCCAGAUAAUGAGGAAAAAAUAAAUCAAUGACCUCACUCUUAUCUGGUCUUAACAGGCAGGCUUUCCUUUGCUAAAAGUGACCCUGAAAUGGUCUGGAUUGAUUCACACAAAUACCAAACCCUGCAUCUUGCUAAGCAGAGCUGUCCAGGGGAACACUUUGCUCCAUGAAGAGAUCUAAUCUGAGCAUCAGCAAAGCUGCCAGGAUUUGAAUCACAGCUUUUCUUAGAGUCAAAAUAAACGCUUCUGAGAAAUUCAAAUGAGCAGUAAGAUAAAGAGUUAAGGAAGAAUUUAGCUUCAGUACUUAUUAGAAGAAAAAACCCACAUUCUCAGACCUGUGCCUGGGAUUGAACAGUCUUCAUUGGCAUAUACUUGUCUGGUUCUCCAUAGACAUAUGCUUCUCUGAUUAUUUAAUUAGCUGGUAUUGUUAAAUAAGUGCUUUACAGAUGUUAAAGGGAGAUUGCUGCCUGCUGAGAACUGGUGUAGCUGUAUUGGUGGAGAUCCUUCCUUUGGUGCCUUGAUUAAUGGAAGAAAUACACAGCUCAGAAAUGUUCUUCUCCAAAAGUACCUCCUUUACUCUCUGUAUUGAUCUCUCAAAUGAAGGCUUAAAUCUUCAGGUAAUAAAUGUGAUUAAUAAUAGUUUUAGAGAAUAUAUGAGGGAAUCUCUUUGAAUAUGCAGAGGUAAGAGGCAGGUGAUUUUAAUUACUUGCAAAGAAUCUGUAGAAACUACUCUUAAGGUCCAAAAAAUAAAAUUGAAAUUUUAUAGUAGCAAUAGCAGCAGUAGUAGAAAAGACCAUUCUGGUCUAAUAAGAGAUGUGAUGUUUUAGGGAGAGACGGUUGCUUUUAUCAAAUUUGUUGGUACAGGUUGUAUAGUGCACCAAUUCUUGAACAUCAAGGAAAAAGUGCUCUGAGGCAAAACCCCCUGGAGAUGUUUAAAACAUGACUGGAUGCGGCCCUGAGCAACUGUCUUUUUUUGACUCUGCUCUGAUCACAGGUCAGGGCUGGAUGAUUUGCCUUCCAAACUCAACCAAUCUAUGACUUUGUGAACCUAGAAUACAUUUUUGAAGAGUGGCUAGGACCUUCUUGUGGCAACUGGCGCAGAGUAGAGAGCCCAGGUCUCCUGUAGAGGAAGAAGGAUCUGGAAAGGGUUUCUCUAUCAUGAAUCAAACUGGGCUCCAUGUGUUGCUUAGUGUUUUGUCCUUUUGCAAAACCAAAGUCCCAUGCAGCUUUCAGACAACUCACCUCCUGGGAAGUGGCUGUGAUUCCUGAUUAACAACUUCCCACCCCAAAAACUGUGAGAAGUUGGCCUUUGGAUAUGAGUGAGUUCCACUAAGAGCAAUCUUCAUUUGUGGCUGACUUGGGUGUGAUUACUUCAGUGCUGCAUCCAAAAGGAUUAACUUAUUAGGGAGGUGGUUUGAUCUGGAAAAAGGUUAAUUCUAAAAACAUCAUAGGAUAAAGCAAAAUGGACAGAACACACCCAUAAAAUAAAUCAGAUAUGGAAAUAAAAUGUCAGAAGCU